CGUGAAGAGUGAUUGUGCGUCUCCUUUCAGUGUGGUCAUGAGCGCACGGAAAAGACCCGAAAGACCAACACUCGGGCCCACCCGCGCUGGCGCUGGCGCCGGCGCCGGUGCGCGAGCCAUUGGCGUCCGCGUCCAAGGUGCUGGAGUAGGAGCCCGAGAUGCUCCCAUGCCGCGCCGCGGACUUCCCGCUCUCAUCGCAACCCUCGUUCGCCGGGACCACGCGCCUGCUCGAGGCCCCCGGCAUCAAGGUCUGGGACCCCUGCCACGUCCUCCUUCGCCGACGUAGCCUCAGCAGCUGGGGAGGGCAGCCGAGUCCACCGCGGUGGAGCCGUGGAGGUCGUGGUGGUCAGCCACGGGAAGUGCAUGGCCGCGAUGCGCCCGUACUGCCAUGUCUCUGGAUAGAUUUUAGUCAUUCCUAGCUUCACUCUUUGUUAGUACUAACUCUCCAACUAAUUGCUCCGUACUGCUGCCGGUGUUGGUGCUUGAAGGGAUAACGCUUAAAUGCUCUCUACUGCUACCAAUGCUCUUGAUCUGGUCACCUCCCAGUGCCAAUCUGGUGCUACCCCCUCCACUUAGGCGAGCAGCCCAGCCACGAGUAGGAUUUAGGUAAAAAGGGUGGUAGGAGGGUAUUUUCCUUUUCCAUGCUUCAUUUUUGAGGCUUCAACUGUUCAGCAAUGCAUAAUUUGAUUUCUGUUACCUGUGCAGGUCAUAUAUGCAGCUUAUUCUGUCAACAAUUUGGCCAUUGUUUAUUUUCAUCAUGAUCAUUAAAUGAUACAACGGAUAUUGUUGCAUAGCACCUGAAUAUAAUUUUGUUUCUGCAGCUUACAUGAAGCUGCUGAUGGCAAGAAGACAAAUCUCAGUUUGUCCAGCACAACAGGGUCAUGCUGUCAAGAACGGGACCAUACUAUUGCCAUUGAGGAAAGGGAUAUAAGUGUUGCCUUUAGUUGGAGGAAAUUGGUUUGGCUUUGGUGUAAGGCAAUAGCCAUAUUUAUCUAUUGGAUGGUGUUUCUUUUACAUGAGUGUGGCACGUUAUUUCUCAAAUUCCCUUUCAUAGGAUGAAGAGGAUCAUAUCCCGUCUAUUUGGUCUUGGAAGCUCAUUUACAUCUGGCCACGGUGAGAAAAUUGGGAUGUUAGUAUUGAAUAUUUAGUAAUUUAGUUUCUGUUUCAGUUCCCCCAUCAAAACCAUUCUGUGACUUAAUACUUUCUUUUGGUUUAAAGAUAGUUUGAUAAACAAUAUGAAACACAUAAAGCUAGUUUGAUAUCAUCUUACUCUACCUAUCAACUUAGAAGUAAUCUUUGUGUUUAACACUUUCAUAUUAAAACUUAAGCUUAAUUAGUGACGGGCCAUAGGACGCACCAAUGACGUGCUAUUUUCUAGUGAGAU
Phragmites australis (common reed) is the source of this 1384-nucleotide long non-coding RNA. RefSeq lists it as uncharacterized. NCBI's taxonomy places the organism in Eukaryota, Viridiplantae, Streptophyta, Magnoliopsida, Poales, Poaceae. The transcript is spliced from 5 exons. The record is from RefSeq and is a predicted model, not a curated record.